GACGAACGCUGGCGGCGUGCUUAACACAUGCAAGUCGAGCGGUAAGGCCCUUUCGGGGGUACACGAGCGGCGAACGGGUGAGUAACACGUGGGUGACCUGCCCUCAGCUCUGGGAUAAGCCUGGGAAACCGGGUCUAAUACCGGAUAUGACUCCAUGACGCAUGUUGUGGGGUGGAAAGCCUUGUGCGGCUGAGGAUGGGCCCGCGGCCUAUCAGCUUGUUGGUGGGGUGACGGCCUACCAAGGCGACGACGGGUAGCCGGCCUGAGAGGGCGACCGGCCACACUGGGACUGAGACACGGCCCAGACUCCUACGGGAGGCAGCAGUGGGGAAUCUUGCGCAAUGGGCGAAAGCCUGACGCAGCGACGCCGCGUGAGGGAUGACGGCCUCGG
This 391-nucleotide ribosomal RNA is filed under the name uncultured bacterium. RNAcentral's name for it is "bacterial SSU rRNA". It matches the Rfam family "Bacterial small subunit ribosomal RNA", at positions 28 to 420 of the family's 1533-position model. The record is from RNAcentral.